This 234-nucleotide unclassified non-coding RNA is filed under the name plant metagenome. RNAcentral describes it as "partial contains small subunit ribosomal RNA, internal transcribed spacer 1, and 5.8S ribosomal RNA". The record is from RNAcentral.
UUUCCGUAGGUGAACCUGCGGAAGGAUCAUUAAUGUGUUUGGGCCUCACGGCUCUUCAUUCCGACGCUGUGCGCCUUCGGGCUGCACGCUGAGGGAGCAUAUAUCCACCCCUGUGCACACACACGGUGGCGAGCUGGGUAACGGCUCGCCGCUGAUCUUUACACACGUCUAAAAGUCAUUGUAUGUUUAUUCGAGAUAAAAACACAACUUUCAGCAACGGAUCUCUUGGCUCUC